Molecule: small nuclear RNA, 313 nt
Filed under: Rattus norvegicus (Norway rat)
Lineage: Eukaryota; Metazoa; Chordata; Mammalia; Rodentia; Muridae
Description: 7SK RNA
Rfam family: 7SK RNA
About the family: 7SK was discovered as an abundant small nuclear RNA in the mid-70s but a possible function has only recently been suggested. Two independent studies have found that 7SK RNA binds the CDK9/cyclin T complex (known as elongation factor P-TEFb).
Source: Rfam by way of RNAcentral
AAGAGGGUCAUCUGGCUGGGACAUCUGCAACCUAAGUGACCAACAGGGUUAACUCAGCUGAUUUGGCUGGCUAUGCUGACGUCCGCUUCCACCUCACUGUUUUAUUUGCAUCCCUACAGAAGCUGCUGCAUGCUAGAUCCAAAAGCACAAUCUUUCUGGGCUACAAGAGGACUGCUCUUCACUCAAGACUAUACAAGUAGUAGUGUUCUCCUAGUAUAACCUCUAAACAAACUCCCAACACUCAUCACAAGGCUUUUUAAUGUUCCUGCCAUCUAAAAUAAAAAAAGUUGUUGGCGGUUUAUAAUCAUACUUU